Molecule: ribosomal RNA, 505 nt
Filed under: uncultured bacterium
Lineage: Bacteria
Description: bacterial SSU rRNA
Rfam family: Bacterial small subunit ribosomal RNA
Source: RNAcentral
CUACGAGUUUGAUCAUGGCUCAGAUUGAACGCUGGCGGUAUGCUUAAGACAUGCAAGUCGUGCGGUAGAAGGCUUCGGCCUUUGAGAGCGGCGGACGGGUGAGUAACGCGUGGGAAUCUACCCUAGAGCGGGGGACAACCCGGGGAAACCCGGGCUAAUACCGCAUACGUCCUACGGGAGAAAGAGGGCCUCUGCUUGCACGCUCUCACUCCAGGAUGAGCCCACGUCCGAUUAGCUAGUUGGUAGGGUAAAGGCCUACCAAGGCCACGAUCGGUAGCUGGUCUGAGAGGAUGAUCAGCCACACUGGGACUGAGACACGGCCCAGACUCCUACGGGAGGCAGCAGUGGGGAAUAUUGGACAAUGGGCGCAAGCCUGAUCCAGCAAUGCCGCGUGUGUGAAGAAGGCCUGCGGGUUGUAAAGCACUUUCAGUGGGGAAGAACAGAUUCGGGUCAAUACCCCGGAGCCCUGACGUUACCCACAGAAGAAGCACCGGCUAACUCCGUG